CAGCAGCCGCGGGAAUACGGAGGGUGCAAGCGUUAAUCGGAAUUACUGGGCGUAAAGCGCACGCAGGCGGUCUGUCAAGUCAGAUGUGAAAUCCCCGGGCUUAACCUGGGAACUGCAUUUGAAACUGGCAGGCUAGAGUCUUGUAGAGGGGGGUAGAAUUCCAGGUGUAGCAGUGAAAUGCGUAGAGAUCGGAAGGAACAUCUGUGGCGAAGGCGACUAUCUGGGCCAACACUGACACUGAGGCACGAAAGCGUGGGGAGCAAACAGGAUUAGAUACCCCUGUAGUCCCUGUCUCUUAUAC
Molecule: ribosomal RNA, 301 nt
Filed under: uncultured bacterium
Lineage: Bacteria
Description: partial 16S ribosomal RNA
Rfam family: Bacterial small subunit ribosomal RNA
Source: RNAcentral